CCGGCGCUACCAGAAGUCGACCGAGCUGCUGAUCCGCAAGCUGCCGUUCCAGCGCCUGGUGCGCGAGAUCGCGCAGGACUUCAAGACGGACCUGCGCUUCCAGAGCUCGGCCGUCAUGGCGCUGCAGGAGGCGAGCGAGGCCUACCUGGUGGGUCUGUUCGAGGACACCAACCUGUGCGCCAUCCACGCCAAGCGCGUCACCAUCAUGCCCAAGGACAUCCAGUUGGCCCGUCGCAUCCGCGGGGAGCGCGCUUGAGCUCUCUAUCUUCUCCCCGUCCCCCACAAAGGCUCUUUUCAGAGCCACUACACCUUCCCGGAAAGAGCUGUUUACAACUCUUGCUCGGAUUUUUUUCGCCCCUUGAGCGGGUUAGCCAGUGUAAAAACCUGUUUGCCUUAUAGUGUUAUAACACUGGUAGAGCUAGCUGCAUAAUGGAUGCUUCCAAGGGAGGUUUGCGGAGCUUAGUUUAGGGUAGUUUUUUGGAAGUUUGUUGCAGUCCUAUUCCUAGACCCCUGGUGCACCCAGCAGCUCAGUCUAAGCGCAUGGUUUGUCACAUGGUGGAUACUAUGUAACUCUGGCCCAGAGGGGGCCUGGAAAUAACUGACCGCUCAUAAUUACCUCACUAAACUAGAGGGCUGUAGUGUAAUUGUUGCUCCCUUUUCUGAUGGGUAGUGUCCGGGAGCUGACUGCUCAUAAUCGGUAAGUGGACUAUUCUGAGUCAUACCCAGUGACACUCCUUCCUCUAACACUUGACUAGAAGACCUAACUACUAUAAUACAUUCAGACCUGCUAGUAAUAAAUUCAGCAUUUAUUACUAUCA
This 818-nucleotide long non-coding RNA is filed under the name Rattus norvegicus (Norway rat). RNAcentral's name for it is "long non-coding RNA NONRATT016680". The stretch from base 282 to 327 matches the Rfam family "Histone 3' UTR stem-loop". The record is from RNAcentral. Lineage: Eukaryota; Metazoa; Chordata; Mammalia; Rodentia; Muridae.